RNAcentral lists this ribosomal RNA (398 nucleotides) under uncultured bacterium. RNAcentral's name for it is "partial 16S ribosomal RNA". It matches the Rfam family "Bacterial small subunit ribosomal RNA", at positions 523 to 918 of the family's 1533-position model. The record is from RNAcentral.
AUACGUAGGGUGCGAGCGUUGUCCGGAAUUACUGGGCGUAAAGAGCUCGUAGGUGGUUUGUCGCGUCGUCUGUGAAACUCCGGGGCUUAACUCCGGGCGUGCAGGCGAUACGGGCAUAACUUGAGUACUGUAGGGGAGACUGGAAUUCCUGGUGUAGCGGUGAAAUGCGCAGAGAUCAGGAGGAACACCGGUGGCGAAGGCGGGUCUCUGGGCAGUAACUGACGCUGAGGAGCGAAAGCAUGGGUAGCGAACAGGAUUAGAUACCCUGGUAGUCCAUGCCGUAAACGGUGGGCGCUAGGUGUAGGGGUCUUCCACGACUUCUGUGCCGUAGCUAACGCAUUAAGCGCCCCGCCUGGGGAGUACGGCCGCAAGGCUAAAACUCAAAUGAAUUGACGGGG